CAUGAGUGGCGGACGGGUGAGUAACGCGUGGGCAACCUGGCCUGUACAGGGGGAUAACACUUAGAAAUAGGUGCUAAUACCGCAUAACGGGGGAAGCCGCAUGGCUUUUCCCUGAAAACUCCGGUGGUACAGGAUGGGCCCGCGUCUGAUUAGCCAGUUGGCAGGGUAACGGCCUACCAAAGCGACGAUCAGUAGCCGGCCUGAGAGGGCGGACGGCCACACUGGGACUGAGACACGGCCCAAACUCCUACGGAAGGCAGCAG
RNAcentral lists this ribosomal RNA (263 nucleotides) under uncultured bacterium. RNAcentral describes it as "partial 16S ribosomal RNA". It matches the Rfam family "Bacterial small subunit ribosomal RNA", at positions 90 to 354 of the family's 1533-position model. The record is from RNAcentral.